AUGGAGUUCCGCUUCCGCGCCGGGGACCGCGGGCCGCCCGGCCCCGGAGGCUCCCCGCAGGCACGGUCCUCCCACCCCCGCGACGGCUACACCGGUGCCGGUGCGCAGGGCACGCAAGCAGGGCCUUCGCCUUCGCCUUCGCCUUUGCCGCGGCCGCCGCUCGACUGGGAGGCGGCGCGGCGGGAGCACCUCAUCCGCGAGGAGGUGAGGCGGCGGCUCGUCGAGGAGGAGGUGCGCCGCGAGUUCGAGGCCAAGGGCGACCUCGCCUUCGCGCGCGGCCUCCACGGGGGCUGCUGGGGGCCCGACCCGUUCCUCGCCCUCGGCUGCUUCAUGCCGCCGCCGCACGCGCCGAUGCCGAUGCCGAUGCGCCCGCCCCCGUACGCGCCGCCGCCGCCGCCGGUGCCUUUCGACGAGUUUGGUGCCUGGCAGGGGUUUGGGCCUCGCCGGCACGCGGGAUUUGGGGAGAGGAUGCCGUUCCCCUGUGAGGAGAGGGGGUGGUCUCCGCCGCCGCGGAAGCCGAAGCAUAAGCUCAAGCUGGUUGAGAUCGAGCCCUCCGGGACACCCGAGGCUCUUUCGCCAAGAUUGAAGGUUCCAAGGAUGAAGAGGAAACCAGAUGCAAAUGCUGCAGCUACUGUACCAAAGAAAGUACAGAAACUAGCCAAGGACUGGAGCUGUGCACUAUGCCAGGUUAGUGCAACAUGUGAAGCUGGUCUAAAUGAGCAUCUCGGAGGAAGAAAACAUAAGGCCAAGUUGGCCCUGUGUGGCGCCAGCAAGGCUAUCAAAGAUGACAAAAACUGCUCGCAGACGACCACUGGGAAUAAGAACAGCACAGAUCCUUGUGAUGCACAUAAGAAAGUACACAUGCUAGUAGACGGUGAAAUGCAUGAAGUUGUUCAGAAGAACAACUAUCUGUGGUGUGAUCGCUGCAGAGUCAGGUGUGAUAGCAACGUCAUCAUGGCUGGUCAUCUGAGGAGCAAGAAGCACAGUAAAUUAAACAAGGUUUGGACAUCGAUAAAGGCUGUGAGGACAAAUACCGAUACUAAGGAAGGUUUGUCUUCUUAUGGAAGUCAGGUAAAUACAAACCACUCUACUGAAACUCCAGCGGUAAUUGAAGACGACAUAAAUAUGACCAGUGAAGUAGAUGAAAGUAACCCUGUAGAAAAUCCAGCCAGGAAAGAAAUCACAAGCAUCACCACCGAAGUAGAAAUUCCAGUGGUAAUUGAAGGCGACAUAAAUAUGACCAGUGAAGUCGAUGAAAGCAGCCCUGUAGAAAAUCCAGCCGGGAAAGAAAUCACAAGCAUCGCCACCGAAGUAGAAAGUAUAGCCAUGGCUACCGAAGUACAUGAAAAUAACCCUGUGGAAACUCCAGUUGAAACAAAGAAGGAAAGCACAGAGAUGACAAAUGAUGUGUGA
RNAcentral lists this ribosomal RNA (1413 nucleotides) under Triticum aestivum (bread wheat). RNAcentral describes it as "partial small subunit ribosomal RNA". Lineage: Eukaryota; Viridiplantae; Streptophyta; Magnoliopsida; Poales; Poaceae. The record is from RNAcentral.